Molecule: non-coding RNA, 49 nt
Filed under: Trichobilharzia regenti
Lineage: Eukaryota; Metazoa; Platyhelminthes; Trematoda; Strigeidida; Schistosomatidae
Source: RNAcentral
AGUUAGCUGACGAGUCCCAAAUAGGACAAGUGAAAUGCGCAUCCUGGCU